UGCAAGUGGCACCAAGUCACUCAAUGACAUGCAACAAGAACAACUGGACACAGCUUUAUACCUCCUGAGAGCAGUGUUAGGUAAUAGGCAUAGCCACAGAAGCCUUUGAGAAUCCAAGCAAAAUGAAAUCAAUUAAAUUCUGCCUAUCGCUGUUCAAGGAAAACGUCACGCUGUAGCUACCUUGAGACGCAAGCUCAGGGCACAAGCAGUGCUAUAACAUGUGGCAAACAACAAAAGUGGAUGCAGAGUGCUGUGCAAAGCUGCUCAGAAUAAGAAUUUGUGGUAAUUUUAAGCAUGGGAUCCAUCUGUCAAUGCAGGAAAAUGACACAUUUGAGGGAGAAAACAGGAGCAGACUCUGUCUUUAAUGUCCUGGUGGUGGACCAUUUCAAGUCCAUCCUCAAGAAGCACAUCUUAGCAAUCAAUUGAUGGACCACUGCAAUUUUUAUGAUUUGGAGACUUCUGAUCCAGGGACAUGUUCUUUUAGGGAAGGAUGUAGAGCAAAAGAUAUGCAUAAACUUGUGAAACUUUACCACUGUUCAGAAUUCCUCAGAGAGAGAAACUACAUUCAUCUUGGAAAUCCAUAUUGCGUACUUUGAAGAACUGCAGUUCUUCUUGCAAACUCUUUAUUUCUUUGAAGUUAGGUCUGGAGAAUAAUACGGCAUCAUUCUGUGGACAAGCCAUGGUUACUGCCACCAAAUAAAAUGUCUCUGUAUCAAAAA
Long non-coding RNA from Gorilla gorilla gorilla (western lowland gorilla), 719 nucleotides. RefSeq lists it as uncharacterized. Lineage: Eukaryota; Metazoa; Chordata; Mammalia; Primates; Hominidae. The record is from RefSeq and is a predicted model, not a curated record. The transcript is spliced from 4 exons.